This 253-nucleotide ribosomal RNA is filed under the name uncultured bacterium. Its description in RNAcentral is "partial 16S ribosomal RNA". It matches the Rfam family "Bacterial small subunit ribosomal RNA", at positions 524 to 776 of the family's 1533-position model. The record is from RNAcentral.
UACGGGGGGGGCAAGCGUUGUUCGGAAUUACUGGGCGUAAAGGGCUCGUAGGCGGCCAACUAAGUCAGACGUGAAAUCCCUCGGCUUAACUGGGGAACUGCGUCUGAUACUGGAUGGCUUGAGUUUGGGAGAGGGACGCGGAAUUCCAGGUGUAGCGGUGAAAUGCGUAGAUAUCUGGAGGAACACCGGUGGCGAAGGCGGCGUCCUGGACCAACACUGACACUGAUGAGCGAAAGCCAGGGGAGCAAACGGG